UUGAGCAAGAUGGAGAAGCAGGGCACGUGCAUUACAAACUCAUCAUGCAAAACUUCAUUCAAAUUUCAACAAAACACCCUUUCUCAGGUUUGAUUCUUGUGCUAUGGUUACAUGGUUCAACCAAACCCUAAGUGGCUCAUGGUUCAACCUACCUGAGUGGUUUAACCGACAAAGAAGUAAGAUCUUUGAAUGCAAAUGAGUUGGUGGUUCAUGUGCCCAUCUUCCCCA
This 228-nucleotide microRNA precursor is filed under the name Helianthus annuus (common sunflower). RNAcentral's name for it is "sRNA HanXRQr2_Chr11g0500741". It matches the Rfam family "MIR164 microRNA precursor family". The record is from RNAcentral. Lineage: Eukaryota; Viridiplantae; Streptophyta; Magnoliopsida; Asterales; Asteraceae.